Molecule: long non-coding RNA, 1024 nt
Filed under: Salmo salar (Atlantic salmon)
Lineage: Eukaryota; Metazoa; Chordata; Actinopteri; Salmoniformes; Salmonidae
Description: lncRNA (ENSSSAG00000084169.1)
Source: RNAcentral
AUAACACACAUGUAAUCAUGUUGUAACCAAACAAGUUUCAAGUAAAUCAAAAUACAUUUUAUAUUUGAGAUUCUUCAAAGUAGCCAGCCUUUCCCUUGAUGGCAGCUUUGCUCACUUUUGGCAUUCUCUCAACCAGCUUCAUGAGGUAGUCACCUGGAAUGCAGUUCAAUUAACAGGCGUGCCUUCUUAAAAAUUCAUUUGCGGAAUUUCUUUACUUCUUAAUGCGUUUGAGCCAAUCAGUUGUGUUGUGACAAGGUAUGGGUGUUAUACAGAAGAUAGCCCUAUUUGGUAAAAGACCAAGUCCCUGUUAUGGCAAGAACAGCGCAUAUAAGCAAAAAGAAACAACAGUCCAUCAUUACUUUAAGUCAUGAAGGACCUGAGCCCUAGGACCAUGCCUCAGGACUACCUGGCUUGAUGACUCCUUGCUGUCCCCAGUUCACCUGGCCGUGCUGCUGCUCCAUUUCCAACUGUUCUGCCUGCAGCUAUGGAACCCUGAACUAUUCACUGGAUGUGCUACCUGUCCCAGACCUGCUGUUUUCAACUCUCUAGAGACAGCAGGAGCGGUAGAGAUACUCUCAAAGAUCGGCUAUGAAAAAGCCAACUGACACUUACUCUUGUGUCACUGACUUGUUGCACCCUCGACAACUACUAUGAUUAUUAUUAUUUGACCAUGCUGGUCAUUUAUGAACAUUUGAACAUCUAGGCUAUGUGCUGUUAUAAUCUCCACCCGGCACAGCCAGAAGAGGACUGGCCACCCCUCAUAGCCUGGUUCCUCUCUAGGUUUCUUCCUGGGUUUUGGCCUUUCUAGGGAGUUUUUCCUAGCCACCGUGCUUCUACACCUGCAUUGCUUGCUGUUUGGGGUUUUAGGCUGGGUUUCUGUACAGCGCUUUGAGAUAUCAGCUGAUGUAAGAAGGGCUAUAUAAAUAAAUUUGAUUUGAUGAUUCUGUCAUCAUGAAGUUCUUUGAGAGACUAGUCAUGGACCAUAUCACCUCCACCCUACCUGAUAACCUAGACCCAAUCUAAU